This 254-nucleotide ribosomal RNA is filed under the name uncultured bacterium. RNAcentral describes it as "partial 16S ribosomal RNA". It matches the Rfam family "Bacterial small subunit ribosomal RNA", at positions 524 to 776 of the family's 1533-position model. The record is from RNAcentral.
UACGUAGGGGGCAAGCGUUGUCCGGAUUUAUUGGGCGUAAAGAGCUCGUAGGCGGUUCCGUAAGUCGUGAAGUCAAAUCUCUGGGCUCAACCCAGAAUCGCUUCCGAUACUGCGGUGACUGGAGUCCGGUAGGGGAGUGUGGAAUUCCUGGUGUAGCGGUGAAAUGCGCAGAUAUCAGGAGGAACACCAACAGCGAAGGCAGCACUCUGGGCCGGUACUGACGCUGAGGAGCGAAAGCAUGGGGAGCGAACGGG